AUUGAACGGUCGCGUACUGCAAGGUCGAAAGACAGCAUACGAGGAAAGUCCGGGCUCCAAAGAGCAAUGAUGCUGGAUAACGUCCAGUGAGGGAAACCUUAAGGAAAGUGCAACAGAAAAUAACCGCCAUAUUUCAGAAUAUAUUCAAGGCCUAGCCUUGCAAAAUAGCUCUGAAUGGUAAGGAUGAAAAGGCGAGGUAAGAGCUCACCGCCCGUGUGGAGACACAAGGGGUCUGUGUAAACCCCAUCUGGAGCAACACCGAAUAUAAGAAGUCUAAGGCUGCUCGCCGUCUUCUGCUUGGUGGCUUGAGGCAUAUAGCAAUAUGUGUACUAGAUAAAUGGCCGUUCUAGACAGAACCCGGCUUAUAGAUUUACC
Molecule: RNase P RNA, 375 nt
Filed under: pig gut metagenome
Description: Bacterial RNase P class A
Rfam family: Bacterial RNase P class A
About the family: Ribonuclease P (RNase P) is a ubiquitous endoribonuclease, found in archaea, bacteria and eukarya as well as chloroplasts and mitochondria. Its best characterised activity is the generation of mature 5'-ends of tRNAs by cleaving the 5'-leader elements of precursor-tRNAs. Cellular RNase Ps are ribonucleoproteins.
Source: RNAcentral